UCCCCUUUGCCGCCGGGUAGAGGGAACGGGCGACAGGCUGCAUGUCAUUAGGCCAUAGAAGACAUGGGCAUGCCGCUUUUUGACGC
Molecule: non-coding RNA, 86 nt
Filed under: unclassified sequences
Source: RNAcentral